This 254-nucleotide ribosomal RNA is filed under the name uncultured bacterium. Its description in RNAcentral is "partial 16S ribosomal RNA". It matches the Rfam family "Bacterial small subunit ribosomal RNA", at positions 524 to 776 of the family's 1533-position model. The record is from RNAcentral.
UACGGAGGGUGCGAGCGUUAUCCGGAUUCACUGGGUUUAAAGGGUGCGUAGGUGGGAAUGUAAGUCAGUGGUGAAAUCUCUGAGCUUAACUCAGAAACUGCCAUUGAUACUAUGUUUCUUGAAUUUUCUGGAGGUCAGCGGAAUAUGUCAUGUAGCGGUGAAAUGCUUAGAUAUGACAUAGAACACCAAUUGCGAAGGCAGCUGGCUACAGGGAUAUUGACACUGAGGCACGAAAGCGUGGGGGAUCAAACAGG